This 69-nucleotide transfer RNA is filed under the name Ellipes minuta. RNAcentral's name for it is "tRNA-Gln". It matches the Rfam family "tRNA". Rfam says of the family: Transfer RNA (tRNA) molecules are approximately 80 nucleotides in length. Lineage: Eukaryota; Metazoa; Arthropoda; Insecta; Orthoptera; Tridactylidae. The record is from RNAcentral.
UGCAUUGUGGUGUAUGAGGCACGAAGAUUUUUGAAGUCUUAAGAGAUGGUUUAAGUCCAUUUAAUGUAA